RNAcentral lists this ribosomal RNA (494 nucleotides) under uncultured bacterium. RNAcentral describes it as "partial 16S ribosomal RNA". It matches the Rfam family "Bacterial small subunit ribosomal RNA", at positions 29 to 507 of the family's 1533-position model. The record is from RNAcentral.
AUGCACGCUGGCGGCGUGCCUAAUCCAUGCAAGUAGCACGCUGAAGGAGGAGCUUGCUCUUCUGGAUGAGUUGCGAACGGGUGAGUAACGCGUAGGUAACCUGCCUGGUAGCGGGGGAUAACUAUUGGAAACGAUAGCUAAUACCGCAUGACAACAGUUAUUGCAUGAUAACUGUUUAAAAGGGGCAACUGCUCCACUACCAGAUGGACCUGCGUUGUAUUAGCUAGUUGGUGAGGUAACGGCUCACCAAGGCGACGAUACAUAGCCGACCUGAGAGGGUGAUCGGCCACACUGGGACUGAGACACGGCCCAGACUCCUACGGGAGGCAGCAGUAGGGAAUCUUCGGCAAUGGACGGAAGUCUGACCGAGCAACGCCGCGUGAGUGAAGAAGGUUUUCGGAUCGUAAAGCUCUGUUGUAAGAGAAGAACGAGUGUGAGAGUGGAAAGUUCACACUGUGACGGUAUCUUACCAGAAAGGGACGGCUAACUACGUG